RNAcentral lists this ribosomal RNA (301 nucleotides) under uncultured bacterium. Its description in RNAcentral is "partial 16S ribosomal RNA". It matches the Rfam family "Bacterial small subunit ribosomal RNA", at positions 509 to 807 of the family's 1533-position model. The record is from RNAcentral.
CAGUCGCCGCGGGAAUAUGUAGGUGGCAAGCGUUGUCCGGAAUUAUUGGGCGUAAAGGGCUCGCAGGCGGUUUCUUAAGUCUGAUGUGAAAGCCCCCGGCUCAACCGGGGAGGGUCAUCGGAAACUGGGAAACUUGAGUGCAGAAGAGGAGAGUGGAAUUCCACGUGUAGCGGUGAAAUGCGUAGAGAUGUGGAGGAACACCAGUGGCGAAGGCGACUCUCUGGUCUGUAACUGACGCUGAGGAGCGAAAGCGUGGGGAGCGAACAGGAUUAGAGACCCGGGUAGUCCCUGUCUCUUAUAC